Bombina bombina (fire-bellied toad) is the source of this 133-nucleotide small nucleolar RNA. RefSeq annotates it as small nucleolar RNA SNORA9. The transcript has a single exon. NCBI's taxonomy places the organism in Eukaryota, Metazoa, Chordata, Amphibia, Anura, Bombinatoridae. The record is from RefSeq and is a predicted model, not a curated record.
AUGCAAGGCUUCCAGCAUGACUCGGCUUGUCGUAGUCAUGAUCAUUCCUGUAGCACUUGCUAAAUCAAUGCUGAGAUGGUUUGAGGCCUCCUUCUGCCUAUCCAGAUGGAGGUUAUAGAAAUCCCAUACAUGU